Molecule: long non-coding RNA, 366 nt
Organism: Cygnus olor (mute swan)
Lineage: Eukaryota; Metazoa; Chordata; Aves; Anseriformes; Anatidae
Exons: 2
Source: RefSeq, a predicted model, not a curated record
CGGGAGAAUGGCAAAGCAAACAGGGACCUCGCCCUCCAAAAUAGGCACUCAGAAGGACCGAAGCCGUUCUCCCAGCCCUCGGAGCUGCUGCAGCCCCGGGGUGUGCUGCUCUCCGUGCUGCCAAAUGAGCAAAUCGUGACCGUCCCUCUUCCUGAGGAUAUCAGGACAGCAGGUUAAGUGACAGAGCCGUUCGGAGCGGUGGCUCUCACUCAGAAAGCAGCUGCACCUUUUUCAUUUCGGAGGGGCUGAUGCUUUUAGCAGCAGUGAUCACGGGCCAGUGAAAGUCUGGGAGUAGCUAUUGUUUGCAGAUGCAGGAGAGAAUGUUUGCUAAACACUUUAUGAAUCAGUGUUUAAAUGGAUUGAAAC